This 468-nucleotide ribosomal RNA is filed under the name uncultured bacterium. Its description in RNAcentral is "partial 16S ribosomal RNA". It matches the Rfam family "Bacterial small subunit ribosomal RNA", at positions 28 to 507 of the family's 1533-position model. The record is from RNAcentral.
GACGAACGCUGGCGGCGUGCUUAACACAUGCAAGUCGAACGGAAAGGCCCUGCUUUUGUGGGGUGCUCGAGUGGCGAACGGGUGAGUAACACGUGAGUAACCUGCCCUUGACUUUGGGAUAACUUCAGGAAACUGGGGCUAAUACCGGAUAGGAGCUCCUGCUGCAUGGUGGGGGUUGGAAAGUUUCGGCGGUUGGGGAUGGACUCGCGGCUUAUCAGCUUGUUGGUGGGGUAGUGGCUUACCAAGGCUGUGACGGGUAGCCGGCCUGAGAGGGUGACCGGCCACAUUGGGACUGAGAUACGGCCCAGACUCCUACGGGAGGCAGCAGUGGGGAAUAUUGCACAAUGGGCGGAAGCCUGAAGCAGCAACGCCGCGUGCGGGAUGACGGCCUUCGGGUUGUAAACCGCUUUCGCCUGUGACGAAGCGUGAGUGACGGUAAUGGGUAAAGAAGCACCGGCUAACUACGUG